GUGCUCACUUCAGCAGCACAUAUACUAAAAUUGGAAUACAGAGAAAAUUAGCAUGGCCCCUGUGCAAGGAUGACACACAAAUUCAUGAAGCGUUCCAUGUUUAA
This is a small nuclear RNA of Macaca fascicularis (crab-eating macaque), 104 nucleotides long. The record is from Ensembl. Lineage: Eukaryota; Metazoa; Chordata; Mammalia; Primates; Cercopithecidae.